GGAUUGUGGCUCAGUAGUAGAGUGCUUGCCUAGCACAUGGGAGGCCCUGGGUUCGAUCCUCAGUACCA
RNAcentral lists this transfer RNA (68 nucleotides) under Marmota monax (woodchuck). RNAcentral's name for it is "tRNA.Ala". Lineage: Eukaryota; Metazoa; Chordata; Mammalia; Rodentia; Sciuridae. The record is from RNAcentral.